This 81-nucleotide transfer RNA is filed under the name Staphylococcus equorum. Its description in RNAcentral is "tRNA-Leu". It matches the Rfam family "tRNA". Rfam says of the family: Transfer RNA (tRNA) molecules are approximately 80 nucleotides in length. Their secondary structure includes four short double-helical elements and three loops (D, anti-codon, and T loops). The record is from RNAcentral. RNAcentral also lists the same sequence under 2 other names. Lineage: Bacteria; Bacillati; Bacillota; Bacilli; Caryophanales; Staphylococcaceae.
AUCCGAGUGAUGGAAUGGUAGACAUAACAAACUUAAAAUUUGUGAGCUAGCGCUGUGAAGGUUCGAGUCCUUCUUCGGAUA